GAUGAACGCUGGCGGCGUGCCUAAUACAUGCAAGUCGAGCGAACGGACGAGAAGCUUGCUUCUCUGAUGUUAGCGGCGGACGGGGGAGUAACACGUGGAUAACCUACCUAUAAGACUGGGAUAACUUCGGGAAACCGGAGCUAAUACCGGAUAAUAUUUUGAACCGCAUGGUUCAAAAGUGAAAGACGGGCUUGCUGUCACUUAUAGAUGGAUCCGCGCUGCAUUAGCUAGUUGGUAAGGUAACGGCUUACCAAGGCAACGAUGCAUAGCCGACCUGAGAGGGUGAUCGGCCACACUGGAACUGAGACACGGUCCAGACUCCUACGGGAGGCAGCAGUAGGGAAUCUUCCGCAAUGGGCGAAAGCCUGACGGAGCAACGCCGCGUGAGUGAUGAAGGUCUUCGGAUCGUAAAACUCUGUUAUUAGGGAAGAACAUAUGUGUAAGUAACUGUGCACAUCUUGACGGUACCUAAUCAGAAAGCCACGGCUAACUACGUG
RNAcentral lists this ribosomal RNA (497 nucleotides) under uncultured bacterium. RNAcentral describes it as "partial 16S ribosomal RNA". It matches the Rfam family "Bacterial small subunit ribosomal RNA", at positions 28 to 507 of the family's 1533-position model. The record is from RNAcentral.